CCUACGGGAGGUAGCAGUGGGGAAUAUUGCACAAUGGGGGAAACCCUGAUGCAGCGACGCCGCGUGAGUGAAGAAGUAAUUCGUUACGUAAAGCUCUAUCAGCCGGGAAGAAAAGGACGGUACCUGAGUAAGAAGCAGCGGCUAACUACGUGCAAGCUGCCGCGGGUACGCGUAGGGGGCAAGCGUAAUCCGGAUUUACUGGGUGUAAAGGGCGCCUAGACGGCAGGGCAAGUCAGGAGUCAAAGGCGGGGGCUCAACCCCCGGACUGCGCUGGAAACUGGACGGCUGGAGUGCAGGAGAGGUAAGUGGAAUGCCUGGUGUAGCGGUGAAAUGCAUAGAUAUUAGGAGGAACACCAGUGGCGAAGGCAGCUUACUGGACUGUAACUGACGCUGAGGCUCGAAAGCGUGGGUAGCGAACAGGAUUAGAUACCCCUGUAGUC
This 440-nucleotide ribosomal RNA is filed under the name uncultured bacterium. RNAcentral's name for it is "partial 16S ribosomal RNA". It matches the Rfam family "Bacterial small subunit ribosomal RNA", at positions 338 to 795 of the family's 1533-position model. The record is from RNAcentral.